Molecule: unclassified non-coding RNA, 402 nt
Filed under: Hevea brasiliensis (rubber tree)
Lineage: Eukaryota; Viridiplantae; Streptophyta; Magnoliopsida; Malpighiales; Euphorbiaceae
Source: RNAcentral
UAUUAAUGAUGUGAUGUUACGCCGUUACUCUAAAGCCCGCUCUUCGGCUAAUGGUUCUGUUAACGGAGAUGUUCCAAAUAAUCUCAAAACUACAAACACUGAUAUUAAUGAAAGACGCAUUCAGGAUUUGUCUAGAGCCCUUGAAGAAUCUCAGAAGAAAGUCAAUGAUUUGGUGGAAGAUUUACAUGAAAGGCAAAAACAAGAAUCAGAGAUGCAAGAAGAAUUGGACAGCUUAAAAGAUAACUUGAGUUCUGAGAAGCAAAAUUUAGCAGCGGCUGCUUAUGAUUGUGAUAAAUUCAGAUCUUUAUGCGAUGAAAAAGAUGCUGAGCUUCAGGCUGCCCUAACGGAGAAGCGAAACUUGGAAAUGCGUCUUUCAAAGUUAAGUUCUCAAGGUUUGGAGAA